UAGCUGAAAUUACUGAGGGGGGG
Molecule: non-coding RNA, 23 nt
Filed under: Rattus norvegicus (Norway rat)
Lineage: Eukaryota; Metazoa; Chordata; Mammalia; Rodentia; Muridae
Source: RNAcentral